This 292-nucleotide ribosomal RNA is filed under the name uncultured bacterium. RNAcentral describes it as "partial 16S ribosomal RNA". The record is from RNAcentral.
GGACUACACGGGUAUCUAAUCCCGUUCGCUCCCCUAGCUUUCGCGCCUCAGCGUCAGUUACGAGCUAGCAAGCCGCCUUCGCCACUGGUGUUCCUCCCGAUAUCUACGCAUUUCACUACUACACCGGGAAUUCCACUUGCCUCUCUCGCACUCCAGCUCCGCAGUUUUGGACGCAAUUUCGAGGUUGAGCCUCGAACUUUCACAACCAACUUACGGAACCGCCUACGCGCUCUUUACACCCAGUAAAUCCGGAUAACGCUCGCCCCCUACGUAUUACCGCGGCGGCUGGCAC